UAAAAAAAUCGUAACAAGGUCUCCGUUGGUGAACCAGCGGAGGGAUCAUUACCGAGUUUACAACUCCCAAACCCCUGUGAACAUACCAAUUGUUGCCUCGGCGGAUCAGCCCGCUCCCGGUAAAACGGGACGGCCCGCCAGAGGACCCCUAAACUCUGUUUCUAUAUGUAACUUCUGAGUAAAACCAUAAAUAAAUCAAAACUUUCAACAACGGAUCUCUUGGUUCUGGCAUCGAUGAAGAACGCAGCAAAAUGCGAUAAGUAAUGUGAAUUGCAGAAUUCAGUGAAUCAUCGAAUCUUUGAACGCACAUUGCGCCCGCCAGUAUUCUGGCGGGCAUGCCUGUUCGAGCGUCAUUUCAACCCUCAAGCCCAGCUUGGUGUUGGGACUCGCGAGUCAAAUCGCGUUCCCCAAAUUGAUUGGCGGUCACGUCGAGCUUCCAUAGCGUAGUAGUAAAACCCUCGUUACUGGUAAUCGUCGCGGCCACGCCGUUAAACCCCAACUUCUGAAUGUUGACCUCGGAUCAGGUAGGAAUACCCGCUGAACCUAAGCAUAUC
Molecule: unclassified non-coding RNA, 554 nt
Filed under: Fusarium verticillioides
Lineage: Eukaryota; Fungi; Ascomycota; Sordariomycetes; Hypocreales; Nectriaceae
Description: sequence contains 18S rRNA gene, ITS1, 5.8S rRNA gene, ITS2, 28S rRNA gene
Rfam family: 5.8S ribosomal RNA (bases 200-353)
Source: RNAcentral